This 22-nucleotide microRNA is filed under the name Hyalella azteca. RNAcentral describes it as "miR-1471". The record is from RNAcentral. Lineage: Eukaryota; Metazoa; Arthropoda; Malacostraca; Amphipoda; Hyalellidae.
UUUUUACGUGUCAUGAUGCUCA